GACGAACGCUGGCGGCGUGCUUAACACAUGCAAGUCGAACGGAAAGGCCCUGCUUUUGUGGGGUGCUCGAGUGGCGAACGGGUGAGUAACACGUGAGUAACCUGCCCUUGACUUUGGGAUAACUUCAGGAAACUGGGGCUAAUACCGGAUAGGAGCUCCUGCUGCAUGGUGGGGGUUGGAAAGUUUCGGCGGUUGGGGAUGGACUCGCGGCUUAUCAGCUUGUUGGUGGGGUAGUGGCUUACCAAGGCGUUGACGGGUAGCCGGCCUGAGAGGGUGACCGGCCACAUUGGGACUGGGAUACGGCCCCGACUCCUCCGGGAGGCCGCAGUGGGGAAUAUUGCACAAUGGGCGGAAGCCUGAUGCAGCCACGCCGCGUGCGGGAUGACGGCCUUCGGGUUGUAAACCGCUUUCGCCUGUGACGAAGCGUGAGUGACGGUAAUGGGUAAAGAAGCACCGGCUAACUACGUG
Molecule: ribosomal RNA, 468 nt
Filed under: uncultured bacterium
Lineage: Bacteria
Description: partial 16S ribosomal RNA
Rfam family: Bacterial small subunit ribosomal RNA
Source: RNAcentral